Molecule: long non-coding RNA, 543 nt
Organism: Camellia sinensis
Lineage: Eukaryota; Viridiplantae; Streptophyta; Magnoliopsida; Ericales; Theaceae
Source: RefSeq, a predicted model, not a curated record
CUCAUCAAACUUGGCCCUUAUCAACUUACCUAAUCACACCCAACAAAUUCACAAGGUCCUUUCUCUCUCUCUCUCUCUCUCUCUGGGUUAAAGGGGUUUCAAGCUUCUUUUCUUUUUACAUAGAUUCAAGAUAUGGGAAGUAAGGCACCAACCUGGGCUGAUCAAUGGGGUGGCAUCGACGACGAUGAUGACAAGCCCGUGAAUAGCAGUAAGAAGGGAAGGUUAGGCGGUGGCAGCAGCAAGAAGAUGGAAGAGGUGAAGACGGCAGCUUCAGCGGGGUUCGACAAGGCUAAGGCGGCUGCAGUGGUGGGAGCCCAGAAGGUGAAGAGUGGAACCUCUGUGGGAAUCAAAUGGGUCAAAAACCAGUACCACAAAAAAUGCUCUUCUACUAAAUGACCAUGCUCAUGUUUUUUUGCUACACCUCCAAAAUAAAUUAAGGCUAGAAUUGAAAUUCUAGGAUUUUACUUUUUUUUUUGCUGAAUUGGAUUGAAUGAAUACUUAAAUUCUAUUUUGAGCCAUUAUGUAAAUUUACAUUGCCAUUUA